RNAcentral lists this ribosomal RNA (586 nucleotides) under uncultured bacterium. RNAcentral describes it as "partial 16S ribosomal RNA". It matches the Rfam family "Bacterial small subunit ribosomal RNA", at positions 355 to 1375 of the family's 1533-position model. The record is from RNAcentral.
UGGGGAAUUUUGGACAAUGGGCGAAAGCCUGAUCCAGCAAUGCCGCGUGUGUGAAGAAGGCCUUCGGGUUGUAAAGCACUUUUGUCCGGAAAGAAAUCCUUGGCUCUAAUACAGUCGGGGGAUGACGGUACCGGAAGAAUAAGCACCGGCUAACUACGUGCCAGCAGCCGCGGUAAUACGUAGGGUGCAAGCGUUAAUCGGAAUUACUGGGCGUAAAGUGUGCGCAGGCGGUUUGCUAAGACCGAUGUGAAAUCCCCGGGCUCAACCUGGGAACUGCAUUGGUGACUGGCAGGCUAGAGUAUGGCAGAGGGGGGUAGAAUUCCACGUGUAGCAGUGAAAUGCGUAGAGAUGUGGAGGAAUACCGAUGGCGAAGGCAGCCCCCUGGGCCAAUACUGACGCUCAUGCACGAAAGCGUGGGGGAGCAAACAGGAUUAGAUACCCUGGUAGUCCACGCCCUAAACGAUGUCAACUAGUUGUUGGGGAUUCAUUUCCUUAGUAACGUAGCUAACGCGUGAAGUUGACCGCCUGGGGAGUACGGUCGCAAGAUUAAAACUUAAAGGAAUUGACGGGGUCAUAGCUGUUUCCU